This 484-nucleotide ribosomal RNA is filed under the name uncultured bacterium. RNAcentral describes it as "partial 16S ribosomal RNA". It matches the Rfam family "Bacterial small subunit ribosomal RNA", at positions 30 to 507 of the family's 1533-position model. The record is from RNAcentral.
AUUGAACGCUGGCGGCAGGCCUAACACAUGCAAGUCGAGCGGAUGAAGGGAGCUUGCUCCUGGAUUCAGCGGCGGACGGGUGAGUAAUGCCUAGGAAUCUGCCUGGUAGCGGGGGAUAACGUCCGGAAACGGGCGCUAAUACCGCAUACGUCCUGAGGGAGAAAGUGGGGGAUCUUCGGACCUCACGCUAUCAGAUGAGCCUAGGUCGGAUUAGCUAGUUGGUGGGGUAAAGGCCUACCAAGGCGACGAUCCGUAACUGGUCUGAGAGGAUGAUCAGUCACACUGGAACUGAGACACGGUCCAGACUCCUACGGGAGGCAGCAGUGGGGAAUAUUGGACAAUGGGCGAAAGCCUGAUCCAGCCAUGCCGCGUGUGUGAAGAAGGUCUUCGGAUUGUAAAGCACUUUAAGUUGGGAGGAAGGGCAGUAAGUUAAUACCUUGCUGUUUUGACGUUACCAACAGGAUAAGCACCGGCUAACUUCGUG